This 3392-nucleotide long non-coding RNA is filed under the name Homo sapiens (human). Its description in RNAcentral is "PREDICTED lncRNA (TCONS_00118955)". The record is from RNAcentral. Lineage: Eukaryota; Metazoa; Chordata; Mammalia; Primates; Hominidae.
UUUGAACGCUAUUGGAGCAGUUAAAUCACUCUGGAUCUGUUAGUUUUGAAAGUAGAUUCUUUGGCAGAUUUGCCAUCAGAACGGAGACUAAUACCUGUGGCAUCAAAUCUGUUUUCUUUGCUACACAGAGUUUGAAAACUGUUUUUAAGGUUUUAAGGGCUUAUAUGAUACUUUUAGGGUUUGUUUCCUUUAGAUAUCUCCCAUUGGAAGCAGGUUGCACAACGGCAUGAAGAAUAUGGAAGCAGAGGCAAAUUUGGGAACAGAAUCCAGUUAAUGACAUCUUGGAGGAACUUAGAAACAGGAAGUGACUCAGGAUUGGGAAGCACCAGAAAAAGAGCUGCUGACAUGACAUGGUGACAAGCAUUCUUUGUCAAUUGACUUUUUCUCCCGCCCCCUGGAUCCUAAGGAAACGGCACAGCAUUUCCUUGCCCUGCCCUUGACGUGCUAUGCCUACUCUAAGCUAGAUAGGGGCUUCUGAAAGAAAAACCUAAGGAAGCCCCCUGCUCAUGCCUGGAGGAAAGAACUGCCGACUUUGUCUUUGCCCUCAGCCAAACCGCCACAAGUAUCUUUGUCUGCCUGGCUCUCCUGGGGCCAUCACAGAGGGCUGGGGAUGCUGACAGCCGUAAACUCCAGGCGAGGCAGAACCAAGCAGCUGUUCAUAAGCGAUUUCAGUGCAUGUCCAGUGACCCGAAUGGGACCCGACCAUGGGGAAAAUGAUACAGAACUAGAUCGCUUUCUUUAAAUUUUAUUUUUAGUUUGUGUACUCCUAUGGAAGUGUAAUUUUAUCUUUGUGCUGGGAACACUGAAAAGCACUGACGGGGAGCUCCUUUGGCCUGGCCCAUUUUUCUGAAAGCACGUUGCAGCUGUGGCUUCUGCCCAGCAGGCAGAGACUGAUGUUAGAUCCUGUACCCAGCUGCUGCUGGGAGAAGGGACAGACUCAGCUUCUGACUGCAGGGGCAUCUGCAGGAAGAUCGGGGAAACUGAAGACACUUUUAACUGCAAAAGCCCUAGAAACAGUAAGUGCAAAUUGUUCCGUGGAUUGUUGACUUCACAUUCAAACCAUCGGGAAGUGAUCGAGACUGGAAGCGUCGACAAGGAUCCGCAGGGUCUGGGACCAGAGACCAGCUUGUGAUCCUGCUGUGGAGUGCUAGGGGUCUGCUCUGGGGAGGGGGCUUUGGCCUAGAAGAGACAUGGUACAGGGUGGGAACUGUUACAGUCAUGCAACACUUAACAUCAGGUGAUUCUGUCAUUGUACAAAUAUAGAAAGAACUCACACUAACCCAUACAGCGUAGCCUACUACACACGCAGGCUCUAUAGCCUAUUGCUCCUAGGCUACAAACACAUCCAGUGUGUGUCUAUACUGAAUGCUGUAGACAAUGGCAACACAAUGGUAUUUAUAUAUCUAGACAUAUCUAAACAAAAGGUACAGUGAAAGAUAAAAUAUAUACAGUAUAAAAGAUUUUUUUAAAAAGCUGGGUGUGGUGGCACACUCCUGUAAUCCCAGCACUUUGGGAGUCCUGAGGUGGGAGGAUCACUUCAUCCCAGGAGUUCGAGACGAGCCUGGGCAACAUGGCGAAAACCCAUCUUGACAAAAAAUACAAAAAUUAGCCGGGUGUGGUGGUGGGCGCCUGUAAUCCCAGCUAUUCAGGAGACUGAGGCGUGAGAAUCGCUUGAACCCGGGGGGCGGAGGUUGCAGUGAGCCAAGAUCAUGCCACUGCACUCUAGCCUGAGUGACAGAGUGAGACAUUCUGUCUUUUUUUUUUUUUUUUUGAGACGGAGUUUCGCUCUUGUUGCCCAGGCUGGAGUGCAAUGACGCGAUCUCAGCUCACCUCAACCUCCGCCUCCCGGGUUCAAGCAAUUCUCCUGCCUCAGCUUCCCGAGUAGCUGAGAUUACAGGCACGCGCCACCACACCCAGCUAAUUUUGUAUUUUUAGUAGAGACGGGAUUUCUCCAUGUUGGUCAGGCUGGUCUCGAACUCCCGACCACAGUUGAUCCGCCUGCCUGGGCCUCUCAAAAUCCUGGAAUUACAGGCUUGAGCCACUGUACCCGGCAACAUUCUGUCUUAAAAAAAAAAAACACGGGCCGGGCUCAGUGGCUCACGCCUGUCAUCCCAGCACUUUGGGAGGCCGAGGCAGGCGAAUCACGAGACAGAUCACCUGGGCAAGAGAGGGAGACUCCAUCUCAAAAAAAGAAAAAAAGAAAAUUAAGUCCCCCCCAUGCUCCCGAGUCUUCUUACUCCUCAUAGGUGACCACUGUUCAGUCUACCGUUUCUUCCCAGAAAUAUGUGCACAUACAAGCAUAUACAUAUGUCUACUCUUUGCUUAGCAAACCAUUUAUUCAGCCAAAUUACAAUUGUUGUCUUUGAUAAAGCAGGCUACAGACCUCCAGAUCCUAAAUUGGUGGCACCAAAAUUAGAGAACUUACUUUGUCUUGAAGAGAACACUUGCAAAUUGACCAGGAACCCCUACUGCCAGUGUACAUGAAUUAGACUUCCAUAAAGAUUAUAACUUAGGUGCCAGAAUACACAUUUUGAAAUGAAUGUAGGCCAUCUAAAGGCAUUUUUAGCUUCUAAACAUUAACUUUAUGGGGGCAUAAUUUACAGACAAUAAAUAUACCUGCUUACAGUACAUAGAGUUCAAUUAGUUUUUGUUUUGUUUUGUUUUGUUUUGUUUUGUUUUGUUUUGAGAAAGGGUCUUGCUCUGUUACUCAGGCAGAAGUGCAGUAGCAUGAUCAUAGCUCACUGCAGCCUGGAUCUCCUGGGCUCAAGUGAUCCUCCCACCUCAGCCUCCCAAGCAGCUAGGACUACAGGCACAUGCCACUACAUCCGGCUAAUUUUUAAAUUUUUCUGUGGAUAUGGGGUUCUCACUGUGUUGCCCAGGCUGGUCUUGAAUUCCUGGGUUCAAGUGAUUCUCUUGUCUCAGCAUCCCAAAGUGUUGAGAUUACAAGUGUGAGUCACUGCACCCAGCUGACUUUUUUUUUUCCCACUGUAAAUACCAUUGCCUUCUUUUGAGGGGGUUAUUCUGAGUUUUAAUUACUUAUUGUUUUCUGGUUAUGAAGAUACUACAAGUUCCUUAUUUUAAAAUAGAGACAAUUCAGAAAAUAAAGAGAAACCAAAAGACAUCAAUAAUUGCUCCAUCCCUCAAAAAAAAAAAAAUUUGGCAUUAUUAGCAUUGUCUUUUUAAAAGCAUAUAUGUGGCCGGGCAUGGCGGCUCAUGCUUAUAAUCCUAACAUUUUGGGAGGCCAAGGCAGGAGGAUAGUUUAAGGCCGGGAGUUCAAGACCAGCCUGGGCAACACAGCAAUUCUCCCAUUUCCACACACACACACAGUUUAGGCCGGGCCGGGCGUGGUGGCUCAUGCCUGUAAUCCCAGCACUUUGGGAGGCCAAGACGGG